GACGAACGCUGGCGGCGUGCUUAACACAUGCAAGUCGAACGGAAAGGCCCUGCUUUUGUGGGGUGCUCGAGUGGCGAGCGGGUGAGUAACACGUGAGUAACCUGCCCUUGACUUUGGGAUAACUUCAGGAAACUGGGGCUAAUACCGGAUAGGAGCUCCUGCUGCAUGGUGGGGGUUGGAAAGUUUCGGCGGUUGGGGAUGGACUCGCGGCUUAUCAGCUUGUUGGUGGGGUAGUGGCUUACCAAGGCUUUGACGGGUAGCCGGCCUGAGAGGGUGACCGGCCUCAUUGGGACUGAGAUACGGCCCAGACUCCUACGGGAGGCAGCAGUGGGGAAUAUUGCACAAUGGGCGGAAGCCUGAUGCAGCAACGCCGCGUGCGGGAUGACGGCCUUCGGGUUGUAAACCGCUUUCGCCUGUGACGAAGCGUGAGUGACGGUAAUGGGUAAAGAAGCACCGGCUAACUACGUG
This 468-nucleotide ribosomal RNA is filed under the name uncultured bacterium. Its description in RNAcentral is "partial 16S ribosomal RNA". It matches the Rfam family "Bacterial small subunit ribosomal RNA", at positions 28 to 507 of the family's 1533-position model. The record is from RNAcentral.